This 250-nucleotide ribosomal RNA is filed under the name uncultured bacterium. RNAcentral describes it as "partial 16S ribosomal RNA". It matches the Rfam family "Bacterial small subunit ribosomal RNA", at positions 355 to 597 of the family's 1533-position model. The record is from RNAcentral.
UGGGGAAUUUUGGACAAUGGGGGCAACCCUGAUCCAGCCAUGCCGCGUGCGGGAAGAAGGCCUUCGGGUUGUAAACCGCUUUCGGACGGAAAGAAAUCGUUCGCUCUAACAUAGCGGAUGGAUGACGGUACCGUAAGAAGAAGCACCGGCUAACUACGUGCCAGCAGCCGCGGUAAUACGUAGGGUGCGAGCGUUAAUCGGAAUUACUGGGCGUAAAGCGUGCGCAGGCGGACAUGUAAGUCAGAUGUGA